AGGACUAUAGUUAAAAAUAACACUUGAAUUGCAUACAAGAAGUAUUGACAUGAACUAAUCAAUUAGUCUUA
This 71-nucleotide transfer RNA is filed under the name Chorotypus fenestratus. RNAcentral's name for it is "tRNA-Ala". The record is from RNAcentral. Lineage: Eukaryota; Metazoa; Arthropoda; Insecta; Orthoptera; Chorotypidae.